Molecule: microRNA precursor, 84 nt
Filed under: Bombyx mori (domestic silkworm)
Lineage: Eukaryota; Metazoa; Arthropoda; Insecta; Lepidoptera; Bombycidae
Description: mir-2807 microRNA precursor family
Rfam family: mir-2807 microRNA precursor family
Source: Rfam by way of RNAcentral
UUAGCUCAUAUUUGUAUGGAAUGGGAACGUUUGCCUACGUUUGCCACUAGGGGCGCUGUUCCAAUUGCAUAAAAAAAUUGGGUU